Molecule: transfer RNA, 97 nt
Organism: Trichosporon asahii var. asahii CBS 8904
Lineage: Eukaryota; Fungi; Basidiomycota; Tremellomycetes; Trichosporonales; Trichosporonaceae
Rfam family: tRNA
About the family: Transfer RNA (tRNA) molecules are approximately 80 nucleotides in length. Their secondary structure includes four short double-helical elements and three loops (D, anti-codon, and T loops).
Source: Rfam
GGCGAGAUGGCCGAGCGGUCUAAGGCGCUGUGUUAAGGUGAAUCUUUCAGAUCUCCUCCGCAGUCUUCGGACGUGGGUUCGAAUCCCACUCUCGUCA